AUGGAAGCGGCUGUGGUGAAUGUGGCCACAGGGGUCCUCAAACCUGUCCUGGGGAAGUUGGCCGCUCUGCUCGGUGAGGAGUACAAGCGUUUCAAGGGUGUGCACGAGGACAUCAGGUUCCUCAUAGAAGAACUUGAGGCCAUGCACACGCUUCUCCUCAAAAUAUCAGAGGAGGAAGAGCCUGAUGCGCAAGAUAAAGUUUGGGCGGUGGCAGUGAGGGAGCUCUCCUACAACAUGGAAGACACCAUCGAUGACUUCAUGCAAAGUAUCAAUGACAAAGACACUAAGCCAGAUGGCUUCAUUGAGAAGAUCAAGCACUCACUAGGGAAGUUGGGGAAGAUGAAGGCUCGGCGUCGGAUCGGCAGCGAGAUCAAAGAUUUAAAGAAACAAAUCCUUGAGGUGAGCGAGAGGAAUGAAAGGUACAAGACACAUGGGAUCUUCUCCAACACCAGAAAUGCGUCGGUUGAUGCUAGAGCUCUUGCUAUCCUUGAGGAUGCCUCCAAAUUUGUGGGUAUUGAAGAACCCAAGGCUGAUAUAAUUAAGUUGUUGACUGAAGGUGCAUCAACAGAUGAGCAACCAAAGUUGGUCUCCAUCGUAGGAUCCGGAGGAAUGGGAAAAACAACUCUUGCAAACCAAGUGUAUCAAGAGCUCAAAGAGAAUUUCAAGUGUAAGGCUUUCAUAUCGGUGUCGCGAAAUCCAGACUUGAUGAAUAUCAUGAGAACUAUUCAUAGUCAAGUUAGUGGUCUACCUUUUGCUGACACCAAAGCAGGUAGCACACAACAAGUCGUCAUGAAUGCACACAACAAGUCGGAUAUUGAAUUCUUGUGCAGGUAUUUUGUUGUCGUUGAUGAUAUAUGGAAUGUGAAGGCAUGGGAUAUUAUUAAGUUUGCAUUCCCCAUGACCAGUUCUGGCAGCAUCAUAAUCACCACUACUCGUAUAAACGAAGUUGCUGAAUCAUGUCGUUCAUCUUUCAGUGGCAAUAUUUAUGGCAUAAAGCCUCUUAAUAUGGUGCAUUCAAGAGAGCUAUUUCACAGAAGACUAUUCGACUCCAGGGAAAAUUGUCCUCCAUAUCUUGAAGAAAUUUCUGAUCAAAUAUUGAAAAAAUGUGACGGGUUACCAUUGGUAAUCAUUGCUAUAUCUGGUUUGUUGGCUAACACAGAAAGAACAGAGUACAUGUGGAACCAAGUGAAAGGUUCAAUUGGACGUGCACUUCAAAGAAACCCAACCGUUGAAGGAAUGAUGAAUAUAUUGCCACUUAGUUAUUUUGACCUGCUUUCUCAUCUUAAGACAUGUCUCUUAUAUGCCAGUAUAUUUCCGGAAGAUUCUAAUAUUUAUAGGACUGAUCUGAUAAAGAGGUGGAUAGGUGAAGGAUUCAUUCAUAAACAAGUCGGAUGUACAGUACAUGAGACAGGGGAAAUGUAUUUUAGUGAGCUCCUCAAUAGGGGUUUGAUCCUACCUGGGCACACAAAUGAAUAUGGUGAAGUGGAGACUUGCCGAGUUCAUGACAUAAUUCUUGAUUUCAUCAUAUCCAAAUCCAAAGAAGAGAACUUUGUUACUUUCCUUGGUACUACCAUUCCGAUAACUGGGACAGAAAGCAAAGUUAUUCGUCGAUUAUCUCUACAAGGCGUCAAACAAGAAAAUCCAACAAUACCGACAGAAGGUCUGGAUUUUUCCCGUGUACGAUCCGUGUCUGGAGCUUUCGUGGAAUUGCCUUCUUUGGAGAAGCUUAGGCAUCUGCGCGUUCUCCACUUAGACGAUUUCCAAGGAUGGGGAGGACAAAAUCUUGAAAGGAUAGUGAAGUUGUUCCAGUUGAGGUACCUGAGCUACAGACAUGGAGGAAUAAGAGAGCUCCCAGAAAACAUCGGGCGUUUAGGGUGCUUAAAGAUACUGGACAUAAGAGAAACUGGUGUACAGGAAUUACCUGCAUCCAUGCAUUGUUAA
Molecule: ribosomal RNA, 1941 nt
Filed under: Triticum aestivum (bread wheat)
Lineage: Eukaryota; Viridiplantae; Streptophyta; Magnoliopsida; Poales; Poaceae
Description: partial small subunit ribosomal RNA
Source: RNAcentral